GGGGUUGGAGUCAGCACUUUGGCCCCAUGUGGCUACAUCAUGCUGUCGACAGGGAUGAAUGGUGAGGGGCCACAGGAGAGGGCCCGGUGGCUGAGGAGGGGAGGAGAAUGGAUCAUUUAUUCAUACAUCUGCACCGAGGUCAGCUGAGAUACACAGAUACUCCUUUGAGUUCAAACCUGGGACUUUUUACCCUUUGAACUGCACACUGGUGGACGAAGUACACAACUUCAUUACUUUAGUCAAACUAUACUUAUGAUCAAAUAAUGCCUCAAUAUGAAUCAAAGUUGCAUGGAAGUAUUAGAUUACCCAAUAAUGACUUCUGUAAUUAAACUACUUUUAAAACAAAAAUCUCAAAAGGUGUUUUGACGACACAAGUGCAAUCAACUUUAUUUACUUUUUUCAAACUUACUUGCGACUUAAACUUAAAAUUUCUGAAUCUGUAGCUUUCUUACAGACUACAGAGUUUGUGUGUGGUAAAAAGAGCACAGAUUUGAGCUAUACAAAUCAUCCCUCAUUUCAAAAACCGCAAAUAUGGGCUUAUUGCCACGGGUGCUUUGCUGGAAAUUGUCCUCCCUCUUUGCUGUAACCACCACAAAAUGGUCCACCGCAAAUGAUGAGUGAUAUUUGCCAAGCAUUUGCUUUAUGUUCCACCAUGGAGAUGUACGACACACAGGUACGGACACACCAAUAAAACCAAAUCUUAGAUGAGAAAAUUUAUGAGCUAACUUCAGAGCAAAGAUAGUGAUUGAUGAGGACAUUCAUAGAAAUGCGGUGGAGUUAAAAGUACAACAUUUAUCCUCCAGAUGAAGUGGAGUCAACAUUUCCUCAGAAAAUAACCCUUAAGUUUGUGUCAGAUACUCAAAGGAUGUACUUAAGUGCAUUUUGUCAUAUAAUUAAGCCUGUAAUCCUUAAUGAAACAUAUCGUAAAGUGUAAAACUGUUCAGUGUUGAGCAAUGUUCAAAUUUCUUCAGCGUUAAAAGUCCUCAAGAAGAGACCAUGACCUUGUCCUGAAGCUCA
Xyrichtys novacula (pearly razorfish) is the source of this 1017-nucleotide non-coding RNA. NCBI's taxonomy places the organism in Eukaryota, Metazoa, Chordata, Actinopteri, Labriformes, Labridae. The record is from the annotation of a GenBank genome assembly.